GACGAACGCUGGCGGCGUGCUUAACACAUGCAAGUCGAGCGGUAAGGCCCUUUCGGGGGUACACGAGCGGCGAACGGGUGAGUAACACGUGGGUGACCUGCCCUCAGCUCUGGGAUAAGCCUGGGAAACCGGGUCUAAUACCGGAUAUGACUCCAUGACGCAUGUUGUGGGGUGGAAAGCCUUGUGCGGCUGAGGAUGGGCCCGCGGCCUAUCAGCUUGUUGGUGGGGUGAUGGCCUACCAAGGCGACGACGGGUAGCCGGCCUGAGAGGGCGACCGGCCACACCGGGACUGAGACACGGCCCAGACUCCUACGGGAGGCAGCAGUGGGGAAUCUUGCGCAAUGGGCGAAAGCCUGACGCAGCGACGCCGCGUGAGGGAUGAC
RNAcentral lists this ribosomal RNA (383 nucleotides) under uncultured bacterium. RNAcentral describes it as "bacterial SSU rRNA". It matches the Rfam family "Bacterial small subunit ribosomal RNA", at positions 28 to 412 of the family's 1533-position model. The record is from RNAcentral.